GGGAGAUGGACACCUGAGUGUCGGCAUCUUCACAGACAGAGGGCUGGAGUUUACACACAUCCUGCGUUUUCUGGUCAUGUUCCCCACUGUCCUCCGGGUUCACCAAGGGUCAUAGGAAAGGUGGGUGCCCCACUUUCUGAGAUGCUCAGGGUCUUCCUCCACCCUCAUCCCCUCUCGGGCUGGCUCCAGGCCCAGGUUCACCUGCCCUGGGGGUCCAAGACUGGGCGAUGGGCUUCUUGGGAGAGCAAAGGGGUCAAGCCUAGUUGCUAGCAGCAUAGAUGGUUGAAGCUGGAAGGGCCUUAGACUACUUCUAGACUCUCACUGGACAGAAAAGGCUUCGAAGGGUGCCCCUCGCAACCCAAGGAAGUGGCUGAAAGGGCCUUGGGAUCUACUCUGGGGUUGCCUCUCCCCACUUCUGUGACUUGGUAUGGGACUCUGAGCUUCAGUUUUCUCCUCCAUGCACUGAAGAUGAUGCCUACUGCCUAGUUUUCUUGUGGGGUCAGUGAGAUAAUCCAGGCAUUCUACAGGGGAGAAAUUAGGAGGUGUUCUGUUAGUUAGCUCUUCUAAUCUCUCCCACCUUAUUUUUCUUAUGAGCCCAUUCUCCACACAGACCAUUUUCCCCAGUAGGCUAUACAUUUCUGGAGAUCAGGGACCCCAUGAAAUUCGUCUUGGGUUUCUCAGCACCUGGGGACAGUGUCUGGCAUCUGCCAGCAAGGUUUCAAAUAACCUGUGUUGUGCAACCUGUCAGAGCACGAAUGUUCCCGGAAGACUAGACAACAGCCCUCGGGGAAGGCCCCACAGCUGGCAAGUCUGGGACCUCAACAGUUUCCUGCCGUUCAUCCCAUUCGCAGAAGCACAGGAGCCGUAAGGAGGUGGAGUGCUCCCUCUCUCCCGGUGGGCCUGUCCUUCCUUCUGUCAGCACCAAGUGAUGUCCAGCCAGCUGCUGGCUUGGGAACAAAGACCCUGGUCUUCUGAUUUCCCAGCCAGCUGCCUCCCUCCCUGGGAAGGGUCCCCCACCCACAGUUGGAUC
Sapajus apella (tufted capuchin) is the source of this 1030-nucleotide long non-coding RNA. RefSeq lists it as uncharacterized. The transcript has 3 exons. Lineage: Eukaryota; Metazoa; Chordata; Mammalia; Primates; Cebidae. The record is from RefSeq and is a predicted model, not a curated record.